UACAGAGGUGGCAAGCGUUGUUCGGAAUUACUGGGCGUAAAGGGCGCGUAGGCGGCCUUCUAAGUCAGACGUGAAAUCCCCCGGCUUAACCUGGGAACUGCGUCUGAUACUGGAUGGCUUGAAUCCGGGAGAGGGAUGCGGAAUUCCAGGUGUAGCGGUGAAAUGCGUAGAUAUCUGGAGGAACACCGGUGGCGAAGGCGGCAUCCUGGACCGGCAUUGACGCUGAGGAGCGAAAGCGUGGGGAGCGAACAGG
RNAcentral lists this ribosomal RNA (253 nucleotides) under uncultured bacterium. RNAcentral describes it as "partial 16S ribosomal RNA". It matches the Rfam family "Bacterial small subunit ribosomal RNA", at positions 524 to 776 of the family's 1533-position model. The record is from RNAcentral.